AAAAUUCUUAAUAAUUUAAUGUUUGAGCCCGUGCUUUGUAAGUGAAGUCUGAUGGAACAACGGAGCAUGCACAUGAGUAGAGGAGAUACAGACGAUACGUGUGUCUGAGUUGUUUGUGGCUCCAUUAGCGUAUGGUGUUGAUGAUGCCCCCUGAGCACAGAAUUCUGGUGAACCCACAAUGCAUGGGAGUUCAGCGAGAUUCAAUGCCAGUACAAGGUCCACUUUUGGAAACUCCCAUCAUGCCUCCUGCCUAUGGAUGGUCUCUUUGGCUGAGAACCGAGCUAACUCACUCAAGAUCCCAAUUAGUGACUCCUCAUGAGAUGGAAGUAAUUCUCCGGCAUCAUCCUCAUUUGACUUCAGAAAAUCCAGCAGUUCUGGACUUCACAGUUGCACCGCACGGUAUUGGGCUGUGGUCUGCUUCCUGGCAACCGAAGGGCAGGACAUAGCCAACCAUACAACUGCAGAGAUCCACAGAGCUACCUGUACAUAGCCAAGGGCAUUCUAAAAUCCCCAAACUUGAAUCCUACUUCCGACUCUGCUAG
Long non-coding RNA from Pongo pygmaeus (Bornean orangutan), 542 nucleotides. RefSeq lists it as uncharacterized. The transcript is spliced from 3 exons. The record is from RefSeq and is a predicted model, not a curated record. Lineage: Eukaryota; Metazoa; Chordata; Mammalia; Primates; Hominidae.